UACAGAGGUCCCGAGCGUUGUUCGGAUUCAUUGGGCGUAAAGGGUGCGUAGGCGGCGAGGCAAGUCUGGUGUGAAAUCCCGGGGCUCAACCCCGGAACUGCACUGGAUACUGCCUUGCUAGAGUACUGGAGAGGGAACUGGAAUUUACGGUGUAGCAGUGAAAUGCGUAGAUAUCGUAAGGAAGACCAGUGGCGAAGGCGAGUUCCUGGACAGUUACUGACGCUGAGGCACGAAGGCCAGGGGGAGCAAAACGGG
This 255-nucleotide ribosomal RNA is filed under the name uncultured bacterium. Its description in RNAcentral is "partial 16S ribosomal RNA". It matches the Rfam family "Bacterial small subunit ribosomal RNA", at positions 524 to 777 of the family's 1533-position model. The record is from RNAcentral.